This 292-nucleotide ribosomal RNA is filed under the name uncultured bacterium. Its description in RNAcentral is "partial 16S ribosomal RNA". It matches the Rfam family "Bacterial small subunit ribosomal RNA", at positions 505 to 796 of the family's 1533-position model. The record is from RNAcentral.
GUGCCAGCCGCCGCGGUAAUACAGAGGGUGCGAGCGUUAAUCGGAAUUACUGGGCGUAAAGCGCGCGUAGGCGGCUUUGCAAGUCGAGUGUGAAAUCCCCAGGCCUAACCUGGGAACUGCAUUCGAGACUGCAUGGCUAGAGUAUCGGAGAGGGAAGUGGAAUUUCAGGUGUAGCGGUGAAAUGCGUAGAUAUCUGAAGGAACAUCAGUGGCGAAAGCGACUUCCUGGACGAAUACUGACGCUCAUGUGCGAAAGCGUGGGGAGCAAACAGGAUUAGAUACCCCUGUAGUCC